RNAcentral lists this ribosomal RNA (985 nucleotides) under human metagenome. Its description in RNAcentral is "bacterial LSU rRNA". It matches the Rfam family "Bacterial large subunit ribosomal RNA", at positions 1943 to 2925 of the family's 2925-position model. The record is from RNAcentral.
UAACGGUCCUAAGGUAGCGAAAUUCCUUGUCGGGUAAGUUCCGACCCGCACGAAUGGUGUAACGAUCUGGGCACUGUCUCAACUACCCGCCCGGCGAAAUUGUAGUACCGGUGAAGAUGCCGGUUACCCGCGACAAGACGGAAAGACCCCAUGGAGCUUUACUGUAGCUUGAUAUUGGGUUUCGGUAAUUUAUGUACAGGAUAGGCGGGAGACUAGGAAGCCAGUACGCCAGUAUUGGUGGAGUCGUCCUUGGGAUACCGCUCUUAAGUUGCUGGAAUUCUAACCUGCGGCCGUGAAUCCGGCCGGGGGACAUUGUCAGGUGGGCAGUUUGACUGGGGCGGUCGCCUCCAAAAGAGUAACGGAGGCGCUCAAAGGUUCGCUCAGCACGGACGGAAACCGUGCUUUUGAGUGUAAACGCAGAAGCGAGCCUGACUGCGAGGGUGACGGCCCGAGCAGAAACGAAAGUUGGAGUUAGUGAUCCGGCGGUAUGUGAAUGGAAAUGCCGUCGCUCAACGGAUAAAAGCUACCCUGGGGAUAACAGGCUGAUCUCCCCCAAGAGUCCACAUCGACGGGGAGGUUUGGCACCUCGAUGUCGGCUCAUCGCAUCCUGGGGCUGAAGUAGGUCCCAAGGGUUGGGCUGUUCGCCCAUUAAAGCGGUACGCGAGCUGGGUUCAGAACGUCGUGAGACAGUUCGGUCCCUAUCUGUCGUGGGCGCAGGAUAUUUGAGGAGCUCUGUCCUUAGUACGAGAGGACCGGGAUGGACGCACCGCUGGUGCACCAGUUGUCACGCCAGUGGCACAGCUGGGCAGCUAAGUGCGGAUCGGAUAAACGCUGAAAGCAUCUAAGCGUGAAGCCGGCUCCAAGAUAAGAUAUCCCAUUCCGUAAGGAAGUAAGACCCCUUGAAGACUACAAGGUUGAUAGGCUGCGUGUGUAAGCGCCGCGAGGCGUUCAGCUUGGCAGUACUAAUAGGUCGAGGGCUUGACCU